RNAcentral lists this ribosomal RNA (253 nucleotides) under uncultured bacterium. Its description in RNAcentral is "partial 16S ribosomal RNA". It matches the Rfam family "Bacterial small subunit ribosomal RNA", at positions 524 to 776 of the family's 1533-position model. The record is from RNAcentral.
UACGGAGGGUGCAAGCGUUAUCCGGAUUCACUGGGUUUAAAGGGUGCGUAGGAGGGUAGGUAAGUCAGUGGUGAAAUCUCCAAGCUUAACUUGGAAACUGCCGUUGAUACUAUCUGUCUUGAAUACCGUGGAGGUGAGCGGAAUAUGUCAUGUAGCGGUGAAAUGCUUAGAUAUGACAUAGAACACCAAUUGCGAAGGCAGCUCGCUACACGAAUAUUGACUCUGAGGCACGAAAGCGUGGGGAUCAAACAGG